GGAGGCCUCCGUAUUGGCCCCGGUUACGGAAGCCGGGAGGGCAGAACGUGUACUCUUUCUGAAAGAAGUUACCCCCUGAUAGCCAGGUGGAGGUGGAGGAGCUAGGUAUCUUGGUCCCGAUGGCGACUGUGGAAGCUAGCGGCAGCGGCGAGAAAGGGCAGGGGGAGGAGACUUCCGUCACCUAUUACCGGUUGGAAGAGGUGGCGAAGCGCAACUCCUCGGAGGAAAUAUGGCUGGUGAUUCAUGGGCGAGUCUACGAUGUCUCCAGCUUCCUCAACGAGCAUCCUGGUGGAGAAGAAGUUCUGCUGGAACAAGCUGGUUUGGAUGCAAGUGAAAGCUUUGAAGAUGUAGGCCAUUCCUCCGAUGCCAGAGAAAUGCUGAAGGAGUACUAUAUUGGUGAUGUCCAUCCGAGUGACAUUAAAACUGAAAGUGGUAGCAAGUCUUGGGGCUUUAGAAGCUGUCUUUCCCCAGCCCUCAUCAACAGGAAGAAAGUUAGGACUCUGGUGACAGCUCAAGAACCAUGCACACUGACAAGAUAAAUCUGGGAGGAUUCUCACCCAACAUAUUCUUCAGGGGAAGGAAUUUCACUGACUACUACUAGAAUUUCUUUACAACUGCUUUGUGAUUGAUUCUGUUAUCAAGGAUCUCUCUGACCUCCUCCUCUUUGAAGUUCCUGGGGCUGGUGCCCUUUCAGAUUCAUCUCGCUGCUAAUUAGAAGUCAGUGGAUUGGCUUUAGCAGGCCGAUGGUGAUGCACAGGCUUGGCUGGCAUUGAAACUAUUUUGUAGAAUUCGUAUUUCAUCAGUCCUGAAGGCUGAAGGGCCAAUGUGUUGCACGUGGGCCUCCUCUGGGCCUUGAUCAGAUCUGUUUCUUCUAAGGCAGCGGAGUGCACACCUGCCUCCUACCGAUCCAGUGGAACGAGAAUCAGUGUGUGCACCUUGACACCUGAGACAAGAGGCGGCAGCAGCAAGGGGAUUCCUUGCCUUGGACUGGCUCAAAGAUAUUUGGCUAACUCUGUGGUUCUGAGAUGUUCACUUGGGUGUUGCAAUCAGGCCACCUCUGAGCUGGAGGGACUGGGAGAUUUUUCUGACUUUUGGCCCAGGGCCCAACUUGCAGAAGGACAUAUUCAAUCUUAGGAGACAAGGGGAUCGGCAGUACCACUCCCCAGCCUGAGACCUCAUGGAGGAGCUGUUACAAGACGUCCUUGAGACCAGAGGUGAUCAAAGUCAAGAUCAACAGUGAUAAAUCAUGUUGAUAGUGUGUAUCUUUGAUAGACUAUGAUAAAAAGGUGCUUUACCUCUGUGAUCAUCCUCACCCAAACCCAUAACCUCAGUCUCAUCGUGAGAAAGACAUCAGGCAAAUCCCAGAAGAGGGGCACCCUCAAUGGACCUGACCAGAACUCCUCAAAACUGUCAAGGUCAUCAAAAGUGAAGAAAGUCUGCAGAACUGCCACAGCCAAGAGGAGCCUCAGAAGACAUGAUCAAUGCAAUGCGGGUGUCCUGAAAUGGUGAAAGAGCACCAGAGAAACAAAGGAAUCUGAACAAAUCAUGAACUUUAGCUAAUAAUAAUGUAUUAUAUAAUUGUUGCAUUAAUUAUAAUAAACAUGCUAUACUAAUGUAAAAUGUUAAUAAUAGGGGACACUGGGCCUGGGGUAUGUGGGCAUUCUUUGUACUAUCUUCGCAAUUUUACUGUAAAUCUAAAACGGAUCUAAAAAUUAAAGUCUAUUAAAUUUUUUUCUUUACUUAUAGAUCUGUAAUAGUAUUUUACUGUUGUUUUAAUUUGCAUUUCCCUUAUUACUGCUGAGGUUAAGCAUCUUCUCAUGUGUUUAUUGGCCAUUCAAGUUUCUCUUUGGUGAAUUUCUUGUUCAUAACAUUUGCCUAUUUAAAAAAGUUGGGUUGUCUAUUUUGAAAAAAAAAGAUUUGUUGGAAUAAGUAUAUAUGUGGUAUACUAAUCUUUUGUUGGGUAAAUGAAUAACUUGUUACAAGUUACAAAUAACUUGUCCUUUGGCAAUUUCUAUCUUAUAUUUUGUCACACAGAUAUUUUGUUAUUUUAAUGUAGUCAAAUAGUUUUCUUUGUGCUUUGUACUUUUAGCCUUGUUUAUGAAGUCUCUCCCUAUUCUGAUGUCUUAAAGAAAUUCUACAUUUGUAAAUUUCUCCUUAAAAGUCUUACAUGUCUUUUGUAUAUUUAUUCAUAGGUAUCUCACAGUUUUUGUUGCUCUUGUAAUUACAUUUUUAAAAUCUUUAACAAUAGUAUUGAUUUUUGAAUAUUGUCUUUAUCUGCAAGUUGCUGAACUAUUUUAAUCUUUUGCUUGUCUUCCUAUGUAAAUAAUAAUUUCAACUGCAAAUGACAAAGAUUUUUCUCUCUUAUUUUCCAAUUCUUUUUCCUCUUAUUUAUUUAUUUUUUAUUAUUGUACGGGCUAGGACCUAUAAGACAAUGUUUAAUAGUAACAGAGUAAAGAAUCCUUGCCUUGUUUCUCAUUUUAAUGAAAUGCUUCUAAACUUUCACCAUUAACUAUAAUAUUUGCUGUAGAUUCGCUGCAGGUUUUUGGCAGAUAGUUGUCUCCCAUUAUCUAUUUAUCCCUCUUACAAUAAUAGAAUCUCAGAUUUUUAACAGGCUGUAUAGCUGCCUGAAAUAAAUACUUUACUCAGCCUCCCUUGCAGUUAGUAGAUGUGGCUGUUUCUCCAAGCUUUGGCCAACAAGAUAUAAUUAGAAGUGGUACAUGUCCUUAAAAAGAGGAGGCAUGCCCUUCCUUUCCCCUUUUCUCCUCCUUUUUGUUGGCUGGCAUAUAUUCUUGAUAGUUGAGGUAGAACAGCCAUCUUGAACCACAAAAUGGAACGAUAGCAGGAAAGCAAAAUAGAAGGAGUUUGGGUUUUUGAUGCCUUUGGAGCUGCCAUACUUAGCCUGGGAUUGCCCACGUUCUCAUAAGUGAGAAAUAAAUUCUUAUUUUUUUGAACCACUGUUAUUUUGUGUGGUUUUUUUGUCAUUUGCAGCUAACCUUAUCUUAAUUAAACCUUUAUUAGGUUGAAGAAGUUCCCUUUUAUUGUUAGUUUGCUUAGAAUUUUGUUUUUAAUCAUGACUGAGUAAUCAAUAUUGCACUAUUUUUUUCCUUCUUGAUUAAGAUAAUCAUAAUUUUUUAAAUGUUUUACAGUGUUCUUUCCUCCUCACCUAUAACAUUUAUUUGUCUUGUAGUUUGUUUCUAACCAGGAUAAGAUGAUAGAUUUUAUAGUUUCAAAAUAUAGAUUAGAAUGAUAAACGCUGGGAAAAUUAUCUGCCGAAUUAGAAAUAUUUUGAAAGUUGAGUGAGAAAAACUGAUUGAGGGAGACAAAACUCUCAAUUUGGGAUGAAUUUCUUUAAAUUGAUUUGCCCAUGUUAAUUAUAAACUUCAAAGAAACAAAGGGGAAAAAUAAGGCAAAGAGGGAAACCAAUUUAUUAUUCGUACAUUAAAAAUUUAGUUGAAAUCUAUUACGACUAAUAAAGUUUUGAAAAGGAAACUAUCUGCCAAUGGAAUGCAACAAUUUGUAUUUUUGCCCACUAUCUUUUGGUCCUUGUUCAUAUACUCUUGUUUCUACACACUUAUGAUCAGAGUAUAUAUAUGCUUUUUGCAUUUUGAAGAGUUACUUAUUUUUAAAGUUAAAUUUAAAAAUUUAAAUUUAAAGUUUAAAAAUUUAAAGUUAAACUUCAAAUUUCCAUGUGAGAACAGAUUAAACUACUGAACACAACAAAAACAAGUGCUAGAAUGAGAGUCCCCUUACAGAGUUAUAGAAUAAAGUUCUAUAGAACUUUAUCGAGUUAUAGAGUUAUAGAAUAAAGAACGUUUAGAACUGGAGAGAGUUUGUUAAUUCCACCUUUGAAGACUGAUUUAAGUACUUGUUUCUAUUUGAUAAUUAUUUGAUAAUAGAUUUGGUAGAAUGAUCUCAAAUCAUAAAAUUCUUAAAUUUUGGAUUGCAUUUCUGCAAUCUUUGUAAUAAACUCAAUUCUAGUAAAGCCCGAUUUUUUUUUCAAUACUUCAUCAAUUACAAUAACAGCUACUAGUAAUGUUUAUGUUACAAUAUUACACUUUCCAAAGCAAAGCACUUUCUCACAACUUAGCUCAUUUUCUCCCUAUGAAAACCCUGUGAAUGACAAAGGUACCAUUUUGCAGAGGAGGAGACUAAAGCUUCAGAGUAAUUAAGAGAUUUAUGUAUUUGUAAGUGACAGAGCAGAGAUAAAAUGAAUAAAAUAAGGAAUAAAGAAAAUAAAAUUCAAAUAAAAAUCUGCUUUUUUGAGCUCCAUCAAACCAGAUAAUGCCAGCCUUUCCUGUUUAGAAUAGAAAAUUCAUUAAUGUGCUAAACUUUCUCAGUUACAAAUUUUUUUUUUCUUAAAUGGAUAUCUCAUGCUUGUCUAUACUAGAUGCUGAAAUAGGAUGGUAUCUGAUUUAGCAUGAAGUUAUAUGUUUCGUGAUUUUAAGUUUUCCUAUCAGCCUUUCUGCAGAGUUCUGAGAGAGCUUGAAUUUCCAGGUGUUGUGCCAUGGGAAUAUAUUUUUAUACCAUUGCACUAGGUUAUGCUGAGUAAGCCCUGGGCCCUGCAAGCCAUUUCAUGUUGCAAAAUGAUAGUAAAGGGUUAUUGUGGGAAUGCUUCACUCUCUCCCUUUUCAUACAUUGUUUCUGUUUCCUGCUCAUCAAAGUAAACCUUACUGAAGAGGGUAUCCAAAGGAAAUAAUGAAGAAAAGGCUAUAAGCAUAGAUUUAGAUACAAGGAUGUUCAUCUCAGUUUUAUUUACAAAGAUUUUCAAAAGAAAUAAACUAAAUGCCAAAAGUAAGGGAUUGGCUAAAUAAAUUAAGAUAUAAUGGAAUACUCCUCUGCCAUUACACAUUAUUAGGAACAUUUAUUGGUGCAGACUGUUGCUCACUGUUACAUCAAGAAAGCAGGGUAAUAGUACAUAAAAUAUAACCAAUUUGUAGUAUUUAGUACCAAUAUACUUAGAAACAUUCCAGAAAGAUAUUUACUAAAUGACCGUGUCUGUGUGGUGGUUUGCAGAUUUUUGAAUAAUUCUUAUUUAUUAAUUCAUUUAUAUUUUCAGCUCUUAUUUUUAGUUUUUACAAUGAUCACAUAUUGCUUUUACAGUAUAAAAACCCCAUGUAACUUGGUUUUGAUUAAAGAAAAAAACAGUCCUUUAUAAAGCAUUGUUAAGCAUGUUACUUGCUGCUUUCUGUCAAUUUGGGGAGCAAAGGAAGAGGAAAUGGUUGUGUAUGGAAUUUGAUUUAGACAUAUGCAGAAUUUCCUGAAGGUAAGACCUGUGAUCUGUUAAAAUAGGAGGGGGCCUAGGUGAAACAAUUAGGUG
Molecule: RNA transcript, 5317 nt
Organism: Choloepus didactylus (southern two-toed sloth)
Lineage: Eukaryota; Metazoa; Chordata; Mammalia; Pilosa; Megalonychidae
Gene name: cytochrome b5 type B
Exons: 7
Source: RefSeq, a predicted model, not a curated record